This 433-nucleotide unclassified non-coding RNA is filed under the name soil metagenome. RNAcentral's name for it is "partial contains 5.8S ribosomal RNA, internal transcribed spacer 2, and large subunit ribosomal RNA". The stretch from base 1 to 120 matches the Rfam family "5.8S ribosomal RNA", at positions 35 to 154 of the family's 154-position model. The record is from RNAcentral.
GAUGAAGAACGUAGCGAAAUGCGAUACGUAAUGUGAAUUGCAGAAUUCAGUGAAUCAUCGAAUCUUUGAACGCAUAUUGCGCUCUCUGGUAUUCCGGAGAGCAUGCUUGUUUGAGUAUCAGUAAACACCUCAACUUCCAUAUCUUUUUUUGAAAUGGGAGUUGGACUUGAGUUAUCCCAACGCUUUUCCUCACCGAAAAGUGGCGGGUUACUUGAAAUGCAGGUGCAGCUGGACUUUUCUCUGAGCUAUAAGCAUAUCUAUUUAGUCUGCCUAAAAAACAGAUUAUUACCUUUGCUGCAGCUAACAUAAAGGAGAUUAGUUCUUGUGCUGACUGAUGCAGGAUUCACAAAGACAGCUUCGGGCGACUUUGUAAACUCGAUCUCAAAUCAAGUAAGACUACCCGCUGAACAUAAGCAUAUCAAUAAGCGGAGGA